AGUGAACGCUGGCGGUAGGCCUAACACAUGCAAGUCGAACGGCAGCACAGUAAGAGCUUGCUCUUACGGGUGGCGAGUGGCGGACGGGUGAGGAAUACAUCGGAAUCUACUUUUUCGUGGGGGAUAACGUAGGGAAACUUACGCUAAUACCGCAUACGACCUACGGGUGAAAGCAGGGGAUCUUCGGACCUUGCGCGAUUGAAUGAGCCGAUGUCGGAUUAGCUAGUUGGCGGGGUAAAGGCCCACCAAGGCGACGAUCUGUAGCUGGUCUGAGAGGAUGAUCAGCCACACUGGAACUGAGACACGGUCCAGACUCCUACGGGAGGCAGCAGUGGGGAAUAUUGGACAAUGGGCGCAAGCCUGAUCCAGCCAUACCGCGUGGGUGAAGAAGGCCUUCGGGUUGUAAAGCCCUUUUGUUGGGAAAGAAAAGCAGCAGGUUAAUACCCCGCUGUUCCGACGGUACCCAAAGAAUAAGCACCGGCUAACUUCGUG
This 492-nucleotide ribosomal RNA is filed under the name uncultured bacterium. Its description in RNAcentral is "partial 16S ribosomal RNA". It matches the Rfam family "Bacterial small subunit ribosomal RNA", at positions 29 to 507 of the family's 1533-position model. The record is from RNAcentral.